GGAGCAGUGGCCGAGCGGCUGAAGGCGACGGUUUUGAAAACCGUUGUACCGAAAGGUACCGGGGGUUCGAAUCCCUCCUGCUCCG
RNAcentral lists this transfer RNA (85 nucleotides) under Planctomycetes bacterium RBG_16_55_9. Its description in RNAcentral is "tRNA-Ser". It matches the Rfam family "tRNA". Rfam says of the family: Transfer RNA (tRNA) molecules are approximately 80 nucleotides in length. RNAcentral also lists the same sequence under 1 other name. Lineage: Bacteria; Pseudomonadati; Planctomycetota. The record is from RNAcentral.